UACGUAGGGGGCCAGCGUUGCUCGGAAUUACUGGGCGUAAAGGGUCCGUAGGCGGUGUAGCAAGUCGAUAGUGAAAUCUCUGGGCUUAACCCAGAGGCUGCUAACGAAACUGCUGUGCUAGAGUGUGAGAGAGGCGAGUGGAAUUACGGGUGUAGCGGUGAAAUGCGUAGAUAUCGGAAGGAACACCUGUGGCGAAAGCGGCUCACUGGACCAUAACUGACGCUGAGGCACGAAAGCUAGGGGAGCAAACAG
Molecule: ribosomal RNA, 252 nt
Filed under: uncultured bacterium
Lineage: Bacteria
Description: partial 16S ribosomal RNA
Rfam family: Bacterial small subunit ribosomal RNA
Source: RNAcentral